Erinaceus europaeus (western European hedgehog) is the source of this 134-nucleotide non-coding RNA. NCBI's taxonomy places the organism in Eukaryota, Metazoa, Chordata, Mammalia, Eulipotyphla, Erinaceidae. The record is from Rfam.
CUGCAGCCAAUUAAGCUGACCAUGCUGCCCUCCCCAUGGCGCCCAGUGUGCAGUGGCUGCAAACAACAGCCUUCUAGGUAAUGUAUGCAGCCUGUUGCUUGAAUAGGCUGCCCUAAGGCACCCAGGAGACAGCC